GACGUAGGGCGCGAGCGUUGUCCGGAUUUACUGGGCGUAAAGAGCGCGCAGGCGGUCGUUCAAGUCGCGUGUGAAAGCCCCCGGCUCAACUGGGGAGGGUCACGCGAUACUGAUCGACUCGAAGGCAGGAGAGGGUAGUGGAAUUCCCGGUGUAGUGGUGAAAUGCGUAGAUAUCGAGAGGAACACCUGCGGCGAAGGCGGGUUGCUGGGCUGACACUGACGCUGAUGCGCGAAAGCUAGGGGAGCGAAGCGGG
This 254-nucleotide ribosomal RNA is filed under the name uncultured bacterium. RNAcentral's name for it is "partial 16S ribosomal RNA". It matches the Rfam family "Bacterial small subunit ribosomal RNA", at positions 524 to 777 of the family's 1533-position model. The record is from RNAcentral.